UUUCCGUUGGUGAACCAGCGGAGGGAUCAUUACAGAGUUAUCUAACUCCCAAACACAUGUGAACUUACCAUUUGUUGCCUCGGCAGAGCCUACCCGGUAACUGUUCGGAGAAGCUACCCUUUAGCUACCCUGUAACGGCCUACCCUGUAACGCACUGCCGGUGGACUUUUAAACUCUUGUUAUUUUAUAGUAAUCUGAGCGUCUUAUUUUAAUAAGUCAAAACUUUCAACAACGGAUCUCUUGGCUCUCGCAUCGAUGAAGAACGCAGC
RNAcentral lists this unclassified non-coding RNA (269 nucleotides) under uncultured fungus. RNAcentral describes it as "sequence contains ITS1, 5.8S rRNA gene". The stretch from base 221 to 269 matches the Rfam family "5.8S ribosomal RNA", at positions 1 to 49 of the family's 154-position model. Lineage: Eukaryota; Fungi. The record is from RNAcentral.